UCCCCCCUCCUCUCCAUAUGUUUUUCAUUAGCUUGCCCCAUUGAUAGCUUUUACUUUGUGAGGAGCAAGGAGGGGAAGAUCUUGACCGCUAUUAUAACUAUUAUUCAUGUCAACAAUGGCUUCCGCAGGUAUGAAUUUGAUUUAUUAAUUUAUUAUUUGAUGAUUCUCGAUUCUUAGCAUGAUUAUAAAUUAAAUUCAACAAUUGGUAUCAGAAUCUAAUGCUAAGAUCAGAAUCCGUCAUUAAAAUAAUAUUCUCUCUCUGAGUGAAUAAUUCUAAAUCCGCUACCCGUCAAUUCAAGUUUUUGGAAUUGUUAAGUUUUCAAAAAAAAAAAAAAAUUGAAAUUGAUUUCACGUGUUCUGUGCAUAUACGUGUUCAUUCAUUGUAUAGAUAUAAGAAAAGAAAUCCAAAAUCACCCAUGGCUUUCCCCUAAUCAACAAAACCCACUUGCAAAAGCUGAAACUUGGUUUUCUCUCUGCCUCCCUCAAACAGCUGAACCGCCUCUUCUCUUCCCUUCAUUAUUUUUCUAAAUGGCACUGCAAGACCCACAAUUUUCUCACUUCUUCAAGGUCUCUCUCUGUAUGUGUUUGCAUGUCUAUAUAAUUUCCUUUUCAUUGAAAUUUUUGUUAUCCUGAAGAAGCCAAGAAUUCAGGUUUUUCUUUUUGCAGUUGAAUAUUAAUUGCCCAAUGUUUUACUAUCAAAAGGAAACCCAGUAGCCAUUCCAAUAUUCCCGCUUUGCUUUGUCUGCUUGAAUUUAUCAUUUACAAUUUAUUUUAGUUUUGAUUGCUUUUCCAAAAAUCUGCCCAACAUUAAAUGCAAAAUCUGCCCAAUGUUUAAAAAAAAAAAAAAAAAAUUUGGGACGAACACUGUUGCUGCGUUUCAGGCAGCAGCGCCGCCCAGAAUCGCCUCCGACUGCUGCUGUGGUAGCAGCGCCGGGUACUACCGGCGCCACAGAAAAAAAAAUUGCGUUAACAGGUCUAAGGGGAGACGGGGCUCCUGUUGUAAAUAUUCGAUUUUCAAGCCCCUGUUUACAAUUACAGAUUGAGGGUUAGGUUUUGUAAAUUAUAUAAGGAGGGCCUGUCAUAUAAUUUAUGCAAUUGAAGGACCUGAUUUUAAUUUAGGGUUAAAAUGUAAUUUUCAAUAAGGGGCUCUUAAUUUGAACUUAUAAAGUUCUGACCCUAAAUUUUAAUUUUGACACAGUUAAAAAUUUUUAUUUGAUAAUUGACUCAUUUGGAAUAUAUUAAAUAAUAAUAAUAGUUUAGUUGACGACUUUUUGUAUUAUUUCAUUAAAAUGAUUAUGUAUUUAAAUGUUGUCAUUUUUUU
RNAcentral lists this long non-coding RNA (1321 nucleotides) under Olea europaea subsp. europaea. Lineage: Eukaryota; Viridiplantae; Streptophyta; Magnoliopsida; Lamiales; Oleaceae. The record is from RNAcentral.